This 443-nucleotide ribosomal RNA is filed under the name uncultured bacterium. RNAcentral describes it as "partial 16S ribosomal RNA". It matches the Rfam family "Bacterial small subunit ribosomal RNA", at positions 338 to 795 of the family's 1533-position model. The record is from RNAcentral.
CCUACGGGGUGCAGCAGUGGGGGAUAUUGGACAAUGGGGGGAACCCUGAUCCAGCGACGCCGCGUGAGUGAAGAAGUAUUUCGGUAUGUAAAGCUCUGUCAGCAGGGAAGUAAGAAAUGACGGUACCUGACCAAGAAGCCCCGGCUAACUACGUGCCAGCAGCGGCGGUAAUACGUAGGCGGCAAGCGUUAUCCGGAUUUACUGGGUGUAAAGGGAGCGUAGAAGGCAGCACAAGUCUGGAGUGAAAUGCCGGGGCUUAACCCCGAAACUGGUUUGGAAACUGUGCAGCUAGAGUGCAGGAGAGGUAAGUGGAAUUCCUAGGGUAGCGGUGAAAUGCUUAGAUAUUAGGAGGAACACCAAUAGCGAAGGCAGCUUACUGGACUGUAACUGACGUUGAGGCUCGAAAGCGUGGGGAGCAAACAGGAUUAGAUACCCUUGUAGUC